This 24-nucleotide non-coding RNA is filed under the name Arabidopsis thaliana (thale cress). The record is from RNAcentral. Lineage: Eukaryota; Viridiplantae; Streptophyta; Magnoliopsida; Brassicales; Brassicaceae.
AAAGGUUUUGAUAGGUGUAGUCGU